Molecule: transfer RNA, 80 nt
Filed under: Bos taurus (domestic cattle)
Lineage: Eukaryota; Metazoa; Chordata; Mammalia; Artiodactyla; Bovidae
Also listed under: 1 other name
Rfam family: tRNA
About the family: Transfer RNA (tRNA) molecules are approximately 80 nucleotides in length. Their secondary structure includes four short double-helical elements and three loops (D, anti-codon, and T loops). Further hydrogen bonds mediate the characteristic L-shaped molecular structure. tRNAs have two regions of fundamental functional importance: the anti-codon, which is responsible for specific mRNA codon recognition, and the 3' end, to which the tRNAs corresponding amino acid is attached (by aminoacyl-tRNA synthetases). tRNAs cope with the degeneracy of the genetic code in two manners: having more than one tRNA (with a specific anti-codon) for a particular amino acid; and 'wobble' base-pairing, i.e. permitting non-standard base-pairing at the 3rd anti-codon position.
Source: Rfam by way of RNAcentral
UCCCCAGUGGCUCAGCGGUAAAGAAUCUGCCUGCAAUGCAGGAGAGAAAGGAGACUCAGGUUCGAUCCCUGGGUGGGGAA